Non-coding RNA from Ixodes scapularis (black-legged tick), 74 nucleotides. The record is from Rfam. Lineage: Eukaryota; Metazoa; Arthropoda; Arachnida; Ixodida; Ixodidae.
GGCCUGCUAGCUCAGUUGGUUAGAGCGUCGUGCUAAUAACGCGAAGGUCGUAGGUUCGAUCCCUGCGCAGGCGA